Molecule: unclassified non-coding RNA, 783 nt
Filed under: Hevea brasiliensis (rubber tree)
Lineage: Eukaryota; Viridiplantae; Streptophyta; Magnoliopsida; Malpighiales; Euphorbiaceae
Source: RNAcentral
GUUGGAUUGGAAUAACUAACAUUGUAAGGUACAAGACAGAUGAUCCCCCAUUACAACCCUUCAUCGUUACUGAAUGCACAAACAAAAUAACAGGGAGAUACUAAUAUAUUUUCAUGAUAUAAAAAACCAAUUAACAGGAAAUGAUCAGACCAAUAUUAUGGAAAGAUCAAGUACACUGACAGCCUAAAUGACAUUACUAUCAUCUACAUCUUCAUCACUCGUCAUCGUCCUCCUCUUCGCUGCCCUCAUCUCCGUCUUCAUCAUCAUUCACCUCAGACAUUGACUUCUCAGAUUCAUCUUCUUCCGCAGCAUUGGCUCCACUGGCCUGUUUCUUGUUAUAGGCCUUCAUAUUUUUUUCAUAUUCAACCUUCCUCUUGUCAGCCUUAGCAAUGUAAGGUGCUUUUUCAGCAUCCGACAUUGAUUUCCAUUUCUGUCCAGCAGCUUUACCAACAGCAGACACUGCUUUGUUAUUAGGAUUCUCCUCAUUGAAUUUCUUCCUGAACUCUUCCAUAAAAACGAAGAAGGCACUGGCAGGCCUCUUGGGUUUGUUAGGAUCUUUCCCUGCCUUCUUACUUCCUUUCUUGCCCGCGUUGGCUGCACCUUUUUUCACUGCAAGCUUGGUGUCUGCUUUCUUCGACUCCGUCUUCGAUUUACCGCCUUUCAUUUCGAAUCCGACGGGAGGAGGUUGGGUUAGGUUAGGUUUAGGGUUUGAAGAGGGAGGAAGAAGCGGAGGUGCGUGUGAGAGAGAAAGAAGGAAGGGGUAGGAGGAGAAGGAGCUGUGAG